UCUCAGUUACCUGAGGUGAGUUGCUCAGAUAACUUAGAAUUUCGCCUUUACUACCAAAAGGCUCAAGUCAGGAAUGAAAGAAACCUGAAAGAGCCUUCAAAAGGAGAUCAGCUGCUGAAACUUACAACUUUAUCGAAGGAAAGAAAUAUAUGAAGAGGAGAAGGAAGUUGGAUGUGGACUCAAGUUCCAAAGUGGACUCUGGAGAACUGUCUGAAUUACAGAGACAUUACAAGUGACUGCCAUUCAGAAAGUUUGCCACUAUCCUGGCAUUUCUCUAACCAUCAGAAAAUUCUUUACUUCCAAAGAGGAUUGAUUUGACCAACUUUGCACCAAAAUAUCUAGAGGAGGACUGAGCAUCUGUUAGAGGAGAAAUAACUACAUACAAUUUGGCCAAGGGACAAAAAACUCAGUUCUGUCCUAUCCAUUCAUCCAUGCAUCUAUCAAUCCAUUCACCUAUCCAUCUUCAGUUGUUUGGUUGCUUGAUUCAUUCAACAGAUACUUAUUGAGGUUGUAGUCUGGAAUUGCAGCAGCUGUUCUCUUAGUGUGCUGAGGAUGAGCUGAGUCAAGGCAGAAGGGCAGAGCCAAGAAAACUGGAGAAAUAGCACUGGAGCCUCUGGAUUGGGCAAUCCCGAAGCCCAUGUUACCUCUGGACUCCAGGUAGAUGAGCCACUGUUUUCUUGUUAUGCCGGCUGGAGUUGAGUUUCUGUUUCUUGCAGUUAGGAUGCACCCCAGUUUAUUUAACCAUUCCACUGUUGACAC
Long non-coding RNA from Dama dama (fallow deer), 759 nucleotides. RefSeq lists it as uncharacterized. NCBI's taxonomy places the organism in Eukaryota, Metazoa, Chordata, Mammalia, Artiodactyla, Cervidae. The record is from RefSeq and is a predicted model, not a curated record. The transcript is spliced from 3 exons.